CAGUCGCCGCGGUAAUACGAAGGGUGCAAGCGUUAAUCGGAAUUACUGGGCGUAAAGCGUGCGUAGGCGGUGAGUUAAGUCUGCUGUGAAAUCCCCGGGCUCAACCUGGGAAUGGCAGUGGAUACUGGCUCGCUAGAGUGUGUCAGAGGAUGGUGGAAUUCCCGGUGUAGCGGUGGAAUGCGUAGAGAUCGGGAGGAACAUCAGUGGCGAAGGCGGCCAUCUGGGACAACACUGACGCUGAGGCACGAAAGCGUGGGGAGCAAACAGGAUUAGAUACCCGCGUAGUCCCUGUCUCUUAUAC
This 301-nucleotide ribosomal RNA is filed under the name uncultured bacterium. Its description in RNAcentral is "partial 16S ribosomal RNA". It matches the Rfam family "Bacterial small subunit ribosomal RNA", at positions 509 to 807 of the family's 1533-position model. The record is from RNAcentral.